RNAcentral lists this transfer RNA (71 nucleotides) under Terrapene carolina (common box turtle). RNAcentral's name for it is "tRNA-Arg". The record is from RNAcentral. Lineage: Eukaryota; Metazoa; Chordata; Testudines; Emydidae.
AGAUAGCUAGUUUAACAUAAAACAACUAAUUUCGGCUUAGUCAAUCGUGAUUAAUGCCCCACGGCUACCAA